AGUGAACGCUGGCGGUAGGCCUAACACAUGCAAGUCGAACGGCAGCACAGUAAGAGCUUGCUCUUACGGGUGGCGAGUGGCGGACGGGUGAGGAAUACAUCGGAAUCUACUUUUUCGUGGGGGAUAACGUAGGGAAACUUACGCUAAUACCGCAUACGACCUACGGGUGAAAGCAGGGGAUCUUCGGACCUUGCGCGAUUGAAUGAGCCGAUGUCGGAUUAGCUAGUUGGCGGGGUAAAGGCCCACCAAGGCGACGAUCCGUAGCUGGUCUGAGAGGAUGAUCAGGCACAAUGGAACUGAGACACGGUCCAGACUCCUACGGGAGGCAGCAGUGGGGAAUAUUGGACAAUGGGCGCAAGCCUGAUCCAGCCAUACCGCGUGGGUGAAGAAGGCCUUCGGGUUGUAAAGCCCUUUUGUUGGGAAAGAAAAGCAGCAGGUUAAUACCCCGCUGUUCUGACGGUACCCAAAGAAUAAGCACCGGCUAGCUUCGUG
This 492-nucleotide ribosomal RNA is filed under the name uncultured bacterium. RNAcentral describes it as "partial 16S ribosomal RNA". It matches the Rfam family "Bacterial small subunit ribosomal RNA", at positions 29 to 507 of the family's 1533-position model. The record is from RNAcentral.